Molecule: ribosomal RNA, 365 nt
Filed under: uncultured bacterium
Lineage: Bacteria
Description: bacterial SSU rRNA
Rfam family: Bacterial small subunit ribosomal RNA
Source: RNAcentral
GGAGGAUCCAAGCGUUAUCCGGAAUCAUUGGGUUUAAAGGGUCCGUAGGCGGUUUUGUAAGUCAGUGGUGAAAGCCCAUCGCUCAACGGUGGAACGGCCAUUGAUACUGCAAGACUUGAAUUAUUAGGAAGUAACUAGAAUAUGUAGUGUAGCGGUGAAAUGCUUAGAUAUUACAUGGAAUACCAAUUGCGAAGGCAGGUUACUACUAAUUGAUUGACGCUGAUGGACGAAAGCGUGGGGAGCGAACAGGAUUAGAUACCCUGGUAGUCCACGCCGUAAACGAUGGAUACUAGCCGUUCGGAGCAAUCUGAGUGGCUAAGCGAAAGUGAUAAGUAUCCCACCUGGGGAGUACGUUCGUAAGAAUG